GAGUUUGAUCCUGGCUCAGAACGAACGCUGGCGGCGUGCUUAACACAUGCAAGUCGAACGCGAACGAGUUCUUCGGAACUUUAGUAGAGUGGCGCACGGGUGAGUAACGCGUAAGUAAUCUACCCUCGCAUUUGGGAUAACCCACCGAAAGGUGUGCUAAUACCAGAUACGUCUAAGAUAAUGUCUUUUUUUAGAGAAAGGUAGGCUUCUGAUUCAAGCUACUGUGCGGGGAGGGAGCUUGCGUACCAUUAGCUAGUUGGUAGGGUAAUGGCCUACCAAGGCAAUGAUGGUUAGCGGGUCUGAGAGGAUGAUCCGCCACACUGGAACUGAAACGCGGACCAGACUCCUACGGGAGGCAGCAGUGAGGAAUAUUGCGCAAUGGGGGCAACCCUGACGCAGCGACGCCGCGUGGAUGAUGAAGGCCUUCGGUU
Molecule: ribosomal RNA, 431 nt
Filed under: uncultured delta proteobacterium
Lineage: Bacteria; Deltaproteobacteria
Description: bacterial SSU rRNA
Rfam family: Bacterial small subunit ribosomal RNA
Source: RNAcentral